This 496-nucleotide ribosomal RNA is filed under the name uncultured bacterium. RNAcentral describes it as "partial 16S ribosomal RNA". It matches the Rfam family "Bacterial small subunit ribosomal RNA", at positions 29 to 507 of the family's 1533-position model. The record is from RNAcentral.
AUGCACACUGGCGGCGUGCCUAAUACAUGCAAGUAGAACGCUGAAGCUUGGUGCUUGCCCCGAGCGGAUGAGUUGCGAACGGGUGAGUAACGCGUAGGUAACCUGCCUCUUAGCGGGGGAUAACUAUUGGAAACGAUAGCUAAUACCGCAUAAAAGUCGAUAUCGCAUGAUAUUGAUUUGAAAGGUGCAAAUGCAUCACUAAGAGAUGGACCUGCGUUGUAUUAGCUAGUUGGUGAGGUAACGGCUCACCAAGGCGACGAUACAUAGCCGACCUGAGAGGGUGAUCGGCCACACUGGGACUGAGACACGGCCCAGACUCCUACGGGAGGCAGCAGUAGGGAAUCUUCGGCAAUGGGGGCAACCCUGACCGAGCAACGCCGCGUGAGUGAAGAAGGUUUUCGGAUCGUAAAGCUCUGUUGUAAGAGAAGAACGAGUGUGAGAGUGGAAAGUUCACACUGUGACGGUAACUUACCAGAAAGGGACGGCUAACUACGUG